CGCUAUACGAGUAUGUGGAAUCAUCAUAGUUUUUGAGUAAUUGAGUAAUAAUAGUGAAAAUUUUAUUUGUUUUAUAUAAUUAUAUGAGCGUGUGUUAUAAAUAAUUAAUAUUAUUUAUCAAAAUACUCUAAAAUUAAGUAAUAAUAGUGGAAAUUUUAUGUGUUCUAUAUAAUUAUAUGUGCGUGUGUGUUAUAAAUAUUGCAGCAACAUAUUGAAAGGGGGGCAGAUAUAAACGAUGCUUAUCCAGCAGCCAUGCCUAAUUUUGUAUCAAAUGCUGUGUUUGAAAGAGAAUUAACAAAGAAGAAAUGCUCUCCACUAUGUUUGUUGGAGGAGCUUCAACUUAUGGAGGCUAUUCUUCUGAGCAAAGAUAUCAAAAUACAAUUGUCAUCAGAGUCGAGCUAUGAAAAUCCAUUUUUGAUGAUGGUUUGGACAAAGAAUUUUGCUAGGGACGAGGAAAGGGCAAAAAUAAAUUUUGUGAUCUAGUGCCUUGCGAUGUCAUCACAGGAAUUGCUUUGAAAAAUUUGCCGCAUGAGUCAUAGUUUACUGUUUCAGAGGCUGCAAAAAGCUGGCUGCGACGUGCCAAUAAAUAUUAUACAAGGAGAGAAAAUCAACCAUGAACUAGGAUUGAAUGCCGAAUUAAUUAUAU
Long non-coding RNA from Ctenocephalides felis (cat flea), 646 nucleotides. RefSeq lists it as uncharacterized. The record is from RefSeq and is a predicted model, not a curated record. The transcript has 5 exons. Lineage: Eukaryota; Metazoa; Arthropoda; Insecta; Siphonaptera; Pulicidae.